Molecule: long non-coding RNA, 965 nt
Filed under: Homo sapiens (human)
Lineage: Eukaryota; Metazoa; Chordata; Mammalia; Primates; Hominidae
Description: long intergenic non-protein coding RNA 1320
Source: RNAcentral
UUUUUUUUUUUUUGAGAAACCAAAUAUAGAAUACUAAUUGUAUAGUUUUUUGAUAACAAUUAAGUUGUUCCAUUUGGAUUAUAAAAAUAUAUAAUAGUACCUAUUUGGGCUCAUGUCAUAUGUUUUAUUAACAUGUACUUCCUGGUUUAUAUCAAAUUACAGAAUUUUAGAGUUUCAGAAUAAUUUGAAUUUAGAAAGCUAUUACUGUAAUUAUGUGGGGGCAUUAAUGGAGGCUUGUAAUUGUAAUGCUGAAAAUAUAAAUUAAUUGGCUUGUAAAUGAGACAGGUAUAGCAAGUAAAUGAGGUCCUGAGGGUAUAUUUUUAUUCAGCUACUGAGUUGCAGGAUAAAGUCAAAAUAUUUACCGAGGUUAAUGGAAUAAUUAUAUAGGAUUUAUCUAUACUAUUAAAAUUACAUUUAAAAUAUAGAGCUAUAUUGCUUACCUUAAAUUAUAAAAUGAGCUUUCUCCAAAUUCAAAAUGCUUGUAAUUCACAGUCAUUUUUGGAUUACUGUAAAAAGGUAACUAACUGCCUUUUUACAAUUAGGAAUUUAUUUACAACUUUCUCUUCCAAUCCAUUUUCUAGUCUUUUAUACAAAAGACUCAUCUGCUUUCAAGGUUAGUUCAUUUAAGUCAUAAGGUAGAGAGAAGCAAGUACAGAAUACAACACAGAACCACAGCCAUAAGGUAGAUUUCUCAAGUACUGUCCCUAAUGUUACCGGGGGUCCUUGCUUCCAGAGCUCCCAAGAUGGUGGUGGGCCACUUCCAAGAUGGUGGCAAGAGUCGUAUUCUCUGACCUGGGGUUCUUGGUCUCAUGGAUUCCAAGGAAUGGAAUCUUGCGCCAUGUGGAGAAGCGUCAGAUAAUUAGGCAGCAGUCCAACAAUUAGGUUUUGUGGAACUUUUACUAUGUCAUCUAUUUAUUGGAAUUCCCCCUGGAUACCAGGACCCCCUCCAGCAGAGCUUAAAGUUA